ACCAAUUAAAAUAAAUUAGUUUAUAUAAUAUCACAAGACCAACAAGCAGAAUUCAUAUUGGUUGGCCACUUGUGAAUAUCAGAGACUUGAUUGCUUUUUCUCUACUGCCUUACUGGCAUGUUCCUUAUGUUCAUCGGCCUUUACUUUGUGCUCUGUGCUAAAGGGAAGGAAGGUUGCUAUGCAGCAUAUGACAUAGAAAAUUGAAGAAUCCUGCAUAAUUGCUAGAAUAAGG
Molecule: long non-coding RNA, 232 nt
Organism: Juglans regia (Persian walnut)
Lineage: Eukaryota; Viridiplantae; Streptophyta; Magnoliopsida; Fagales; Juglandaceae
Exons: 3
Source: RefSeq, a predicted model, not a curated record